Molecule: ribosomal RNA, 297 nt
Filed under: uncultured bacterium
Lineage: Bacteria
Description: partial 16S ribosomal RNA
Rfam family: Bacterial small subunit ribosomal RNA
Source: RNAcentral
UAGUGAGUUUGAUCCUGGCUCAGGAUGAACGCUGGCGGUCUGCUUAACACAUGCAAGUCGAACGGAGUACUUUCGGGUACUUAGUGGCGGACGGGUGAGUAACGCGUGAGAAUCUGCCCAUAGGAUAGGGACAACAGUUGGAAACGACUGCUAAUACCUGAUGUGCCGAGAGGUGAAACUUUUAUGGCCUGUGGAUGAGCUCGCGUCUGAUUAGCUAGUUGGUGGGGUAAGAGCCUACCAAGGCGACGAUCAGUAGCUGGUCUGAGAGGAUGAUCAGCCACACUGGGACUGAGACAC